This 76-nucleotide ribosomal RNA is filed under the name Aspergillus fumigatus. RNAcentral describes it as "partial 5.8S ribosomal RNA". It matches the Rfam family "5.8S ribosomal RNA", at positions 81 to 154 of the family's 154-position model. From Rfam's summary of the family: 5.8S ribosomal RNA (5.8S rRNA) is a component of the large subunit of the eukaryotic ribosome. It is transcribed by RNA polymerase I as part of the 45S precursor that also contains 18S and 28S rRNA. The record is from RNAcentral. Lineage: Eukaryota; Fungi; Ascomycota; Eurotiomycetes; Eurotiales; Aspergillaceae.
UCAGUGAAUCAUCGAGUCUUUGAACGCACAUUGCGCCCCCUGGUAUUCCGGGGGGCAUGCCUGUCCGAGCGUCAUU